GACGAACGCUGGCGGCAGGCCUAACACAUGCCAGUCGAGCGGACCUUUCGGGGUCAGCGGCGGACGGGUGAGUAACGCGUGGGAAUAUGCCCUUCUCUACGGAAUAGUCCUGGGAAACUGGGGGUAAUACCGUAUACGCCCUUUGGGGGAAAGAUUUAUCGGGGAAGGAUUAGCCCGCGUUGGAUUAGGUAGUUGGUGGGGUAAUGGCCUACCAAGCCGACGAUCCAUAGCUGGUUUGAGAGGAUGAUCAGCCACACUGGGACUGAGACACGGCCCAGACUCCUACGGGAGGCAGCAGUGGGGAAUCUUAGACAAUGGGGGCAACCCUGAUCUAGCCAUGCCGCGUGAGUGAUGAAGGCCUUAGGGUUGUAAAGCUCUUUCAGCUGGGAAGAUAAUGACGGUACCAGCAGAAGAAGCCCCGGCUAACUCCGUG
RNAcentral lists this ribosomal RNA (433 nucleotides) under uncultured bacterium. RNAcentral describes it as "partial 16S ribosomal RNA". It matches the Rfam family "Bacterial small subunit ribosomal RNA", at positions 28 to 507 of the family's 1533-position model. The record is from RNAcentral.